Vitis riparia (riverbank grape) is the source of this 724-nucleotide long non-coding RNA. RefSeq lists it as uncharacterized. NCBI's taxonomy places the organism in Eukaryota, Viridiplantae, Streptophyta, Magnoliopsida, Vitales, Vitaceae. The transcript has 6 exons. The record is from RefSeq and is a predicted model, not a curated record.
CUUUCCCGCCAAUAUCAAACUCGCUUUCUAUCACUUUCCCUAGAAAAUUCAACUUGCUAGCUUUCACCCAUCUGAGACAAUCUUAUAAUUUGGAAGUUGUUGAUUUCACAUUUAACAAUUUCUUGAUAUUUUUGGUCAUCAAUCCGAAAAUUAAAUUCAGAGUUUGCUAGCUUUCAAGAAUCUGAUAACUUGGAGGUUGUUGGCUUCACAUUCAGCAAUUUCUUGGUCUUUUUGGUCACCAAUCCGGAUCCAUCAAGAAGAGUAGCUGAUAAUCUCUGAUAUUCCAAGGUCCAAUGGCGGAAAUGCCUAACAGUAACCCUCUUCCACCAGCAACUGCACAUAUGCUUCAGGCUCUUGAAGCCUUUCUGGAUACCCCACCACUUCCUUGUGUGUUCCGCUGUAUCUUUUGCCAUACUCUCAUUGCUCUGGGCCAUAACUUUAUUCAGGAUCUUUAUCCAUUUUCCACGGCUCAGCUCCUCUUUGAUUACGUUGUGCAGUACUGGUGUGAAUGUUAGAGAAGGAGACUAUCCAAUGCUAUCAUAUGUAGGUGAAGCUCCGGCAGGGAGUCAGGUGGAUGAGGUUUCUAUCUACUGUAUUUCAUGUGGAAGCUGGCUUGGGUGGAGAAUAAUUCGGCAGUAUGCUUACCACCCUGUAAUCCGUGAAGGCCAAUUUGUACUCACAUGUGGUGGUGGUGCAGGCAUAGAAGUUCUAUUUCCGAUGUAAA